GUCCUAGCUGUAAACGGUGCACGUUUGCUGUAAGUGGAAUCGACCCCACUUGUGGCGUAGCCAACGCGAUAAACGUGCCGCCUGGGAAGUACGGUCGCAAGAUUAAAACUCAAAGAAAUUGACGGGGCCUGCACAAGCGGUGGAGUAUGUGGCUUAAUUCGAUGCAACGCGAAGAACCUUACCUGGCCUUGACAUGCAAGUAGUAGAAGGAUGAAAGUCUGACGAGGUAGCAAUACCAGCUUGCACAGGUGCUGCAUGGCUGUCGU
RNAcentral lists this ribosomal RNA (266 nucleotides) under uncultured bacterium. RNAcentral's name for it is "partial 16S ribosomal RNA". It matches the Rfam family "Bacterial small subunit ribosomal RNA", at positions 793 to 1055 of the family's 1533-position model. The record is from RNAcentral.